This 465-nucleotide ribosomal RNA is filed under the name uncultured bacterium. RNAcentral's name for it is "partial 16S ribosomal RNA". It matches the Rfam family "Bacterial small subunit ribosomal RNA", at positions 338 to 795 of the family's 1533-position model. The record is from RNAcentral.
CCUACGGGAGGCUGCAGUGGGGAAUAUUGCGCAAUGGGCGAAAGCCUGACGCAGCGACGCUGCGUGUGGGAUGAAGGUCUUCGGAUCGUAAACCUCUGUCAGCAGGGAAGAACGGUCACUGUGCUAAUCAGCAGUGAAUUGACGGUACCUGCAAAAGAAGCACCGGCUAACUCCGUGCCAGCAGCCGCGGUAAUACGUAGGGUGCGAGCGUUAAUCGGAAGUACUGGGCGUAAAGCGCUCGUAGGCGGUAUGUCAAGUCAAGGGUGAAAUCCCCGCGCUCAACGUGGGAACUGCCUUUGAAACUGGCAAACUGGAGUGUGUGAGAGGAUAGUGGAAUUCCAGGUGUAGGAGUGAAAUCCGUAGAUAUCUGGAGGAACAUCGGUGGCGAAGGCGACUAUCUGGCACAUAACUGACGCUGAGGAGCGAAAGCGUGGGUAGCAAACAGGAUUAGAUACCCCAGUAGUC